GACGAACGCUGGCGGCGUGCCUAAUACAUGCAAGUCGAGCGAAGUUUUUCUGGUGCUUGCACCGGAAAAACUUAGCGGCGAACGGGUGAGUAACACGUAAAGAACCUGCCUCAUAGACUGGGACAACUAUUGGAAACGAUAGCUAAUACCGGAUAACAGCAUUAACUGCAUGGUUGAUGUUUAAAAGUUGGUUUUGCUAACACUAUGAGGUGGCUUUGCGGUGCAUUAGCUAGUUGGUGGGGUAAAGGCCUACCAAGGCGACGAUGCAUAGCCGACCUGAGAGGGUGAUCGGCCACACUGGGACUGAGACACGGCCCAGACUCCUACGGGAGGCAGCAGUAGGGAAUCUUCCGCAAUAGGCGAAAGCCUGACGGAGCAACGCCGCGUGAGUGAAGAAGGAUUUCGGUUCGUAAAGCUCUGUUGUUAGGGAAGAAUGAUUGUGUAGUAACUAUACACAGUAGAGACGGUACCUAACCAGAAAGCCACGGCUAACUACGUG
This 499-nucleotide ribosomal RNA is filed under the name uncultured bacterium. RNAcentral describes it as "partial 16S ribosomal RNA". It matches the Rfam family "Bacterial small subunit ribosomal RNA", at positions 28 to 507 of the family's 1533-position model. The record is from RNAcentral.